UAGCUAAUACCCCAUAGUAUCCGGUUAUCCGGAUUAAGAUUAUCGCUUCGGGAGGGGCCUGCGUCUGAUUAGCUAGUUGGUGAGGUAAAAGCUCACCAAGGCGACGAUCAGUAGCUGGUUCGAGAGGAUGACCAGCCACACCUGGGACUGAGAUACGGCCCAGACUCCUACGGGAGGCAGCAGUGACGGAAUCUUCCACAAUGGGCGCAAGCCUGAUGGAGCAAUACCGCGUGCAGGAAGACGCUUUCGGAGUGUAAACUGCUUUUGUCGUCGAAGAUUAUGACUGUAGACGAAGAAUAAGGACCGGCUAACUACGUG
RNAcentral lists this ribosomal RNA (318 nucleotides) under uncultured bacterium. RNAcentral's name for it is "bacterial SSU rRNA". It matches the Rfam family "Bacterial small subunit ribosomal RNA", at positions 160 to 507 of the family's 1533-position model. The record is from RNAcentral.